This is a long non-coding RNA of Leptonychotes weddellii (Weddell seal), 3885 nucleotides long. RefSeq lists it as uncharacterized. Lineage: Eukaryota; Metazoa; Chordata; Mammalia; Carnivora; Phocidae. The record is from RefSeq and is a predicted model, not a curated record.
GAGAGGGCGCACUUCCGGGUUUCAGACAAGGCGUGGGGGGUGGGUGACGCGGCGGGAGGGGCUGACGUUUUCCGUGCAGCAGGUGCGGCGGCUUAGAGCACUCACCGAGAACGAGAGACGUGACACAAGAGGUCCCAAGGGAGCAAACCUGAAAGCCAGCGCCACCUGAACACACAGACUGCCAGGGGGUGAGAUGAUAUUCGCCACUGUUUCCAGAUAGAAGAAGCAUCGCUUUCUUCAGCAGAUUGAUAGAUGAAGCAUAAAACAAGACCAGAUGCUGUGGUUUCCAGGAUGCACUUGGCUUCCCAUGCUUUAUAACCUGGAGCAUUUAUUGCUGUCCAUUCCUGAUGUGUCCACCAGAGACCAGUCUCAUCAGGCUCACAGCGGACACUCCUACAGUGUUUACCACGUGCCAGGCUUGUUCUGAGUGCUGCAUAGCUCCGCACCUAACCCUUAGAACAGCCCCAUCCGCUAGAACUAGUACUGUCCCCAUGAGACGCUGGAUGACCCUGGCCUGCAGGGAGAUGGACCAGCUUGCCAAAGAUCUCACAACUGGUAUGCGGCAGAGCAAAAUUUGAAAGCAGACCGUCUGGCUCUGGAAACUGUGCUUUUAACCUCCACGCCAAAUAGCUGCUCAAGGAAUUUAUGGUCUGAGUAUACAUGGGAGACGGGUUCAGCAUCAGUUUACGCCCAGUUUUUGCUUUUAUAUUAUAAACCCCGAGGACUAUCAUUCACGUACAUCAAUAAGUAGAUGACGGUUGGAAUAAAUUGAGGCAUCAUGAGUCUCCAUCAACCAAGGUGGUACAAAAACAGCACUCUACUUGGUUUGUGUUCUGUGCCCUGAAGCAGAAAUGCGUUUAAUUGUUCAUUGCAAAAUAAACAGAUGUCUAGAGGAGAAGGUUAUUAAAAAUAUUUUGUGCAGUUUGGAAGAACUAGAGGUCAGGAUUGCUUGACCUAGCGUCUCCAAGCAAACCCCAAGUCAAGUAAGCUGCCAAGGUGACCUAGGAAGAGGGUGGCCCUAUGAGCUCUAGCAGCCAAUGGCCUGGGACCGCACCCUGGGAGGCAGCCAAGACAAAGAAUCCAAUCCAGGAUCCUGCGUUUGCAUUUAGUUGCUGUACCUCCUUGGUCUGGGAAGGAGACUCUCAGUGGAGGCUCUGAGGGUCAUGAGGAAGUCGUAUUGCAGGCUGGAGAAGUGGUGCUGUGUAGUAGCAAAGUGUUUGGCAUCCCUUGUGAGCAGUAAAACACAGAAGACAGAAAAUGUACCUAAUGAACUUGUAGAUCUGGCAAAGGGGAGUUUCAAGCUGCACGUUCAGAGUAUCAGUUGGCUUCUUUUAGUGAUGUGUGAUGGUGUUACUAGAGAGAGAGAGAGAGAUGUGUUAAAAAAGGAACUAUUCCGUUUUCAAGCAGAAUGUAGAGGAAAUAGGGCCUUGGAGAUUCUGUGUUGUCAGCAACAGUCUCAAAGGAAGAAAUGGCCUUAGGGGCCUGCCUUUCGAAUGUGGCCUCGAGGUAAAAAUCCAAUCCAGACUAUGUUGAAGCCUCUACACAUUAAGAUGUUUCAUAGACCCUCUCAUCUAGCCAAAAGGGCUUCUAAGAAGAAUCUUCAGGGGAGUCCAACAGCAGCUACUUCGACAAGGCCCAAAGUAGACAGAAGUUUGUUCUUGGAAGAAUUAUACAUGUUGCUUUGUGGGCAGAGUUGUCGAGGGCAAGAAGUAAACUCUGUUAAGACUCAUAGGAAACCCUCAAAAUGUUGAAGACAGCUCUAUUGAUGAAACCACCGCUAGCAUGAACUAAAGAGGAAAGAGACAGUUCAAAACGUAAAAAACAAAACAAAACAAAAAAAAACCAUCGGGCCCCCAACUUUCUGUGGACAGGACCCAGGCCGAGAGAGCUGUUGGACCAUAAAGGGCAGGCAGUGGCUUAUGGACAAGGAAGCCUCAAAGGUCAUAGUCUGCACCCCGGAGCAGGGAGCCAGGAACAGUGGUUUGGGAAGCAGCUCCUGGGGAGAAGAACAAGCCCCUAAUGGUGGGGCGGUCUGGGUUCCCAGAGUGAGGGUGACAGUGCUCAGCUGGCUUUCAGAACUGCUAGGGCUGGUGGCUGCUCUGUGCCUUCUCGCUCCCCCGCUUUGAACACGAGUGUCUGUUGUAGUUAACUUAUCCCUGUCUCAGCAUCGUACGUUGUGUCUGUAACUCGUCUUUUCAGCUCACAGGUCUCUAGAGGAAGAGGAGCAGCAUCUAAAAUGCCUCCACCACACCUGGGCCUAGUGUCUACCAUUAGAUCCUGGUCCUUAGAGCCAGUGCUACACAGAACGACAGUGUGGGGGGAGGGAGUGUACUCCACAAGUCUGUGUGUGUGGGCGUGUGGGUGUGAAUUAUUGUGGCCAAAGGGUGGCUUAUGACAGAGUGUUUCCCCCUAUGACUGCCAACAGCUCCUCUCAUUCCAGACACUCCUUCCAUUAGGGAGUGUGGUCUCUUUCCUGUCCCCUUGGGUCUGGGCUGGCCCUGUGACUGCCUUUGGCCAGGAGAGUACAGGGAAAGUGAUGUUCUGGGACUUCCAAGCCCUGGCUUUCACUGACCUUGUAGCUUCCGCUUUUUCUUUCUUGGGAUCCAGGCUGUAAAGAAUAAGUUUAUAAAAAAGCCCAGGCUGGCCCACCGAAUGAUGAGCGAUCAUGCUGCCUGCCAUCUUGGCUGUUCCAGCCCCAGCCAAACUCACAGCUAGAGGUGACCACAUGUCUGACCCCAGCUGCGUCAUGGGAAGGCAGAAGAACCACCCAGCUGUGCCCUUCCCAAAUUGCAGAAUCGUGAGCAAAGAAGGGGUGGUGGUCCUUUUCAGGCACAGAGCUUAUGAUGGUUUGUUAGGCAGCAAUGGUCGUUGAAGCCAUUACCAAAUGUCAGGGUUCUUUUGACUGCUUUAACUUUACUCCAGGGGCUGUGAAGAGGUUGUAACAGUGUCAGAUAAAGAAGCCAAGUUUCAAGGAGACUCAGUUCCGUAAAGGCUGGACCCUAUAUGCCACAGUCACGGCUCUGUCCACAGAGCUUUGCACAGAAUGAACAUGUGAUAUAUGCCCAGAUAUAUGUUGAUUGGACAAUUAAAUGAAUGAAUGGAGAUUAAAGAUGCCACACCAUGAAAAAGAAAGACAAAAAAGAUACUCUAAACAGAGUUUGUCUCAUUCCCUUUUUUCUUUCAAAAAGGUGCUCUUCGUUUUCAGAAACAGUGAUGCCUUGGAAACCAGAAGGAUGUUCUGAAGGGAAAGAUUUGUAGGAGUGAGGCACAGGGCAACCUUGAAUCCUUCUCCAUGUCCCUCCUACACCUUGAAAAAAGAGGGCCACUCUGGGAAACACCUGGCAAAUGCCUCAACACCUGCUGGUAGAUACAAAUUAUUAUCUUUUUCUAUUCUUGGAAGAGCUAAAAGCAGAAUAUGUGUUCCAAAGGACUAUAGUUAGAGUUAAUACCAAAAGGACCAGAGUAGAAUAACCAAUAGCCAGUGUUAGGUUGGAGAGUAAAACAGUCAAUGCUGAUUUGUCAUGUUAGGUCUUCUCUUUCCCAUCACUCUCUGGUCCAAGUCACAAUUUCUGAAUGCAACUUGGACCCAGCACAUGCCUAUUCUGCUCUGUGGUUCUCCCAGGAAUACCUGGCCCCAUCCUCAUUUCUCUGAGAGUGAUAAUUUCAUAUAGCACACCUCUCUACUGGGACGUGAAAGGAGACCCAAGUGCUGUGUGCGAUAGCUCCAGGAGAGCUUAGAGACAAGAAGGGAAAGUUCUUUUUUAGGGUUACUUGCAGUGCCUUCUGGAGAAGUACCUUCUGGAGACAUGUCUUGGGCAAAACAUCUUUAUUUAAAAGAAUAGCAAUAUUACUACUGAGUAUCUACCCCAAAGAUACAAAUGUAGG